RNAcentral lists this ribosomal RNA (440 nucleotides) under uncultured bacterium. RNAcentral describes it as "bacterial SSU rRNA". It matches the Rfam family "Bacterial small subunit ribosomal RNA", at positions 338 to 795 of the family's 1533-position model. The record is from RNAcentral.
CCUACGGGAGGCUGCAGUGGGGAAUAUUGCACAAUGGGCGAAAGCCUGAUGCAGCAACGCCGCGUGAGCGAUGAAGGUCUUCGGGUCGUAAAGCUCUGUCCUAAGGGAAGAAUAUUGACGGUACCUUAGGAGGAAGCCCCGGCUAACUACGUGCCAGCAGCCGCGGUAAUACGUAGGGGGCUAGCGUUAUCCGGAAUUACUGGGCGUAAAGGGGGCGGAGGCGGCCCUUCAAGUCAGAGGUGAAAGGCUACGGCUCAGCCGUAGUAAGAGUUUGAAACUGUAGGGCUUGAGUGCAGGAGAGGAGGGUGGAAUGGCGAGUGAAGCGGUGAAAUGCGUAGAUAGAUGGCGGAACACCAGUUGCGGGGGCGGCUCGCUGGACUAUAACUGACGCUGAGGCAGGAAAGCGUGGUGAGCGAACAGGAUUAGAUACCCCUGUAGUC